UGAAAUGACAGUGGAUCAUACUUCUUCAUUU
RNAcentral lists this non-coding RNA (31 nucleotides) under Rattus norvegicus (Norway rat). The record is from RNAcentral. Lineage: Eukaryota; Metazoa; Chordata; Mammalia; Rodentia; Muridae.